UCUCAUCUUUUCCUACAGCCUGGACCCCGAGGGAGCGCCUGGGCUUCCGGUUUUGUAGGCUGUGCGUCCCUGGACCUGGAGCUUUAUCUGUGUGUGUUCCACGCAGCUGGGUGGUCUCCAGCAGGCGGGUCAGCGGAUUAGGACGUGCAGCUUGACUCACUGGUCUGGUUCAAGGCUUCCAGUUUCUCAUCCACCUCAUCUCUGGAUCCUCACGAGAACUCCUGAGCUAUCUUGCAGAAUCAAGAACAUGAACGGUUGUCCUGAUGCCGCAGCACAAAUCUCAAUAGCCUCGGACUGACUGUCUCACUGGCCCUUCUCCUCUGCUGAGAAGUUAGGGUCACGGGAGGCCUCUCUUCCCUUGUCUCCCACACCCUUUGAGCCUGACAACAUGACCCCACAGAACGUUAGAGAACUAUUCCAUGCCAAGAAGAAAAAUGAGAAGGACUAAGAUGAGAAGAAAGGAGAGGAAGAGGAGGAAGAAAGGUGAGUGGAGGGGAGGCAGGAGCCAGAAGGGGGCAAAAGUCCAUGGUGCUGGGGGCUCUCUACUACAGUGCACCUCCAGACCAUCUCAGAUCGGGUCACUGCCCAGGAAGACAGGGCCUCCAGACAUGCCAGGGAACCUAACCAUUCCACUUUCCUUGUAGAAAUGGUAAAAGGAAAAAGACACCGGAGUUUUUCUGUGUUCGUUAUUUUAUCUGUUAGGAUCCAAAGGAAAGAAACCAGCAUUAAGAGUGCUCUUUCAGAGGAUCCACGCUCAGUACCCACGUGGCAGGGCACAAACAGCCCUGGGGACCCGAUGUGCUCCUGGCUUCCGUGGGCACCGGGCAUCCACGUGGUACAAGGACAGAUAUGCAGACGAAACGUCCAUAUACAAAAAAAUAAAACUUUGAAAAAUAAAAUUUAAACUCGAGUAACGUUGCUAUUAGCAGAGAACUGAACGCAUGGAAGGUACAGACACUGAGAAGAUCGUGGUGGACGCUGAAAUCAGACCCCAAGAGCAGCAGAAGCCGGCACUCACUGCCCUAUGCUGGGCCAGGGGGAGGAGGUAGUAUUGUUGGAGCUCAGAGGUCAAGCUGGUGCAGGGAUGUCCCGAAGGGAGUAGAGCGUACAAGAAGUACAGGUGGUGGUCAUGCCUAGGAGGAGGAGCAAACCCUGGCCUUCCCUUCAUGGACCUGCUAACUGCUCCCAAGUGCCUCGCCGUGAGCGCCAAGCGUGAGGUCAGCCACUCUGCAGAAAAGGCAGGGUCCGUGGGCAAACAAAGGCAUGAGGGGAAGCAGAAUGUCCGUGGGGUAACCGGAGACUGUGGCCCCGAGACAGCCUCGCAGGCUCACCAGACUCUAGCAGGACCCCGUGGCCUCGGAGCUCUACCUAGACCUGGAACGCAGCAUCAGGUGGGCCUUGAGACAUCAGUUCCCGAAUGCACAUAAGACCAAACACAAACUGCCCCGCUAGGAACCGACUACAGAGAGCUGCUCCACACCCCUGCUUGCCUAUGACACUCCAAAGAAACGAGAGAGGAGACCAUCUUACAGAAUGCAGGCGGGAUCUAGGUGUAGUGGUCUGUCCUGUCACCUGGGCAUCCUGUCCCUUUAAAAGACAAGCCCCGCCCCCACACACGUGCUCCUUCUG
Molecule: long non-coding RNA, 1629 nt
Organism: Alexandromys fortis (reed vole)
Lineage: Eukaryota; Metazoa; Chordata; Mammalia; Rodentia; Cricetidae
Exons: 4
Source: RefSeq, a predicted model, not a curated record